ACUUCCGGAAGGAACGCUACUUCCUGAUGAAAAGCCGAAAAGCCCGCUCAACUCCCUCGCAAAUUAACAGAUGCAACGGCGAACAUCACGUACAAUCCAGUGACACAUCAUGUGACAUGGCUCCAUCAUUAAAUCGAAAAUUGCUGUCAAUGAUUGAAGGACGUCAAACAAAGAGGAAGAAAUUGAAGUUGAUUAAAUGGCUCCAGAAAAAAAAAAAUUGCUUAAAGCUAAAAUGAAGUGCAAUUUAUGCCAACAUAAAAUGAAGCUGACUCAUAAACCCAACAAAGCAGACAACUAUGUUUGGUCCUGUACACGAAACAGACAUAAGGGAAGGUUCAAGUCAGUGAGGUAUGGAUCACUUUUUGCCAAGUCAAAGUGUAAUUUAUUCUCAUGGAUGAAGUUCAUAUAUCGGCCUUCAGUUGAGACAAAUCGACAUGAUUGAAGAUGGCAUUGCUGGAAGCUCACGUACACUCAGCAGCAUGGCCAAAAAAGUUCGAGCUAUUUGUAAAGAAUCCAUGAAGUUGUAUGCCAGAAGGAAGGGCCAAAUGAUAGGACAACCCAGGGAGUUUGUUAUGAUUGAUGAG
Molecule: long non-coding RNA, 584 nt
Organism: Carassius auratus (goldfish)
Lineage: Eukaryota; Metazoa; Chordata; Actinopteri; Cypriniformes; Cyprinidae
Exons: 4
Source: RefSeq, a predicted model, not a curated record